Long non-coding RNA from Malus domestica (apple), 1761 nucleotides. RefSeq lists it as uncharacterized. The record is from RefSeq and is a predicted model, not a curated record. NCBI's taxonomy places the organism in Eukaryota, Viridiplantae, Streptophyta, Magnoliopsida, Rosales, Rosaceae.
CUAAUCCCAAUAUUCUCAAAUGCAGAGGCUCAGACAUAGUCAUUUGGUUUCCCUUUCCUCCUGACUUGCUCUCACCAUCCCAGUUCACACUGCGAUCUCUCCUCCUGACUUGCUCUCACCAUCCCAGUUCCGUUCGCCGCCAUGAUCAUCAGACCUCAAUCCAAGAUGGGAAAUGCAAUCAUGGUCGAUGAUCUGGUGCUCCUUGAUUUCUAAUGUAACCCUAAACCUCUGCUCUGUGUCUCUUCCUCUCACUCACUCUUUCGAAAUCAGUCCCUCUGUCGAACUCGAAGGGACGAACGACAAAGUCGAAGAACUAAUCAUCCAUCAUCUCCGUCUAACUCAGAUUCAUAGUUUUUUAAGGUGGAUGGGGUCGAAAUUAGGAUUAAGCAACGGCAGGAGCUCUCCCACCUUGCAAGUUUCCUUCAUGGCCCGUUCCCUUCACAGACCACGAAAUACAAAGCUUGGCGGGAAGAUCAAGCACCACAAUAUGAACAUCAACCUGGGCACUACCAUCAAGCUUCACAAACUCAUCCCUUUGUUCUUGCUAUACAAUGCGCUUUCGUUUCGGCUUUACCAUUUUUUAUAGUAUCCUACAAAAAUAUAACAGUAUAAACAAACCCAAAUGAACAGAAAUGAGAAGUGUCAUACUAAGUACUAAGAUAUACCUACAAACGUGUACCAAGGGGAGAGUGGAGGAGGAGCGCAUGACAUGUUUGCAAAAGGUGGACUUGCCGGUUCUAGGUGCACCCACCAAUAUUACUACGACAGGCUUUCCUUUCUUUUCUUCCCCUGUCAAAAGCGCAUACCGAUUUUGUAAUCACCGAAGGUGACGACGACCCAAAAUGAUAUCCAUGUCCAUGUUUUGGAAGACUCUGUGUGGCACGUUUGAAUUAACAGUGUUGUAAGUUUCAUAAACAGUGUCGUAAAUUUUCAUAUACAGCGCAGUAAGUUUCAUAAACAGUGUAGAAGUUUUAUAAACAAUAUGAGGAUGCAUGGGUCAGCGCGUCAGAUUUUUGUUUUACUAUUAAAAUUUUGCCUUAUUCAUUAAAAUUUAAUUUCUUUUGUCCUUUUUAUUAAAAUUUAAGGGGUUUUCAUUAAAAUUUAAGUUUUUUUCAUUAAAUAAAGUUAUAACAUGAUUUUUUUAUUAAAAUAAACUUGAUUCAAGCCCUUUUCAUAAAAGUUCCCUAAAAAAAAUGCAAGAUGCAUGUACUAAUUAUCUGUAAGUUAAACAUCAUAUUAUAUUUAAAUUUAAGACAUCUGAUAUUACAAACGAUGUUUUAUAUAAACCAACAUACUGAUUAAAAUAAUGAUAACGUGACAUAUAAAUGAAAAAGAAAAUGAACAGUCUGUCUAAUUUGUGUCCUAGUAAGGUGUAUCUUUUAAUUUGGUUUCCCUGUAUAUGCAUGGUAUUCGGGGGAUGACAACUUAACUUGCAGUUGCAGGAAAAUCGGGUGGCAUAUGGGAGUUGCAGUCGCAAGAAGAUGAACUAAUAUUGGUCAUGGUUGUUACAAACUUGGAUGCACUUGCCUUAAAAUAAAGUAGCAUAUGUGGACGAGGCUUACACAUAUCUAUACAUAAGUAUAUUUGUCCAAUCAGUGCCGACCUACUGAAUAUUAGUCAGUGGCAAAGAUGGAUGCCCUCACUUAAAUUGAUUCUUAUUUCGUUGAAGUUAUUGGUUCCUAUUUUCAUUUUACAAAAAAGAAAGAAGCAAAGUUUUUUUCAUGUGUUUUUCUUUUACUAAGAGCCACUGUUAGUGUGAAA